AGCUACGGCCAUGCCACCCUGAAUGUGCCUGAUCUUGUCUGAUCUCGGAAGCUAAGCAGAGUCGGGCUUGGUUAAUACUUGGAUGGGAGACCACCUAGAAAUGCCAGGUGCUAUAGGCG
This 119-nucleotide ribosomal RNA is filed under the name Pteropus alecto (black flying fox). The record is from RNAcentral. Lineage: Eukaryota; Metazoa; Chordata; Mammalia; Chiroptera; Pteropodidae.